This 2699-nucleotide long non-coding RNA is filed under the name Oryzias javanicus (javanese ricefish). RNAcentral's name for it is "lncRNA (ENSOJAG00000017218.1)". Lineage: Eukaryota; Metazoa; Chordata; Actinopteri; Beloniformes; Adrianichthyidae. The record is from RNAcentral.
AUCCCUAAACAGACCCCGCCCACUUUCUAAAAAAAAAAAAAAAAUCUGGACCUUUUCCUGCAGACAAAAGAGGAGCGUCUGUGAGCACGCUGAGCAUCCACCGACCUGACGCACCCGGCGCGCAGACACGCACGCCUCCUCCAGACCCACCUGAAGACCUGCCGGCCGGCGCGAUUAUUGUCCUUGGUGAAGGACGGAGAAAAAAGAAGAUCUGGUUUUAUUCAUCAUUUAUCCAGAGGCGCGCGGUUUGAAUGAUGUCAUACCUGUGGAUUCUGCUGUUAGGAAGCCUUUUAGCUUCACACGGCUUGGCUGAAGAUGAGGUAAUGCCAGAUGAUGCUGGGGCUCCUGCGAGCCCGGCCACCGUGGAAGAGGACGGUGCAGAUGCAACGCCAGUAGGAGUAGAAGAGGCAGGUGGUGACCCACCACAGGGAAGUGAUCCUGAUCCUGAACCUGAACCUGAACCUAAGCCCGAGCCUGCAUCUGAGCUUGAACCUGAGCUUGAACCCGAGCCUACACCUGAGCCCAAGCCUGCAUCUGAGCCCGAGCCUGCAUCUGAGCUUGAACCUGAACCUGAGCCUACACCUGAGCCCGAGCCUGCAUCUGAGCUUGAACCUGAACCUGAGCCUACACCUGAGCCCGAGCCUGCAUCUGAGCUUGAACCUGAACCUGAGCCUACACCUGAGCCCGAGCCUGCAUCUGAGCUUGAACCCGAGCCUACACCUGAGCCCAAGCCUGCAUCUGAGCUUGAACCUGAGCCUACACCUGAGCCAGUGCAAGAAAUCCAGCCUGAAACACUUGCUCCAACAGCAGCAGCAGCAGGAGAUACUGUUCCAUCCUCAGAAGGAAAUCCAGAUGAUACAGUAGAUGCCACAACAACUGCUACCACAGUAGAAAGUGACAUUGAGGGGUCCGGAACGCUAACAGCAGUUAGUGAUCAGAUGACCACUUCUACAACUGUUGCUGCGUGUUGCAACGGGGAGACAGGACAAGUUGGUGAGACAACAACAACUGAAGUUGCUGCUGCUGAGGAGACAACUGUUUUGUCAAAAGGCCCCACAGGACCACCCAUUGAAAAAACAACUACUGAUAAAGUGAAACCUGGUGGAAGGAUGUUGCAUCAAGAGCCUCUAAGUAAGAAUACAUAUAUUUCCAUUCACUCUAACAUUUACACAUUUAGAGGGAAAAAAUGUUACAUUUGACAGACUGAUUGUUUUGGAGAGCGUCAAAGUGUUAUCUAGCCUCAUACACAAAACAGUUUUUUCAAACAAUAAAGAUUUAAGCAGAAAAGAUUAAAUGAUAUGCUUGAAAGAUAUAUUAAAGAAACUGUUCCAGAGAGCCAGGCAGAAUCCCUCUGACUGAGCCAGUUAGACGAUUGUUAAACCACUAGUGUUGUGGUGUCACUACAGGCCGUCAGUGGCAGCCAUUUGCGUGCACUUUUUUUUAAAUGAAACUCAACAAGUCAGUUAAAUCUGCCGAUAGCAAAACUGCUGAACAAAACUGAGAUGAUCUUGUUUUAUGUCCUUUGCAAACUGUACAAACUAGUUUGUAAAACAACCCUAUUCAUUUGAGAUGUAGCUUGUCUGGUGAAAGAAUGUUGUCAUGUUAGUAACUAUGUGAGAGGAAGAACCACACUUCUUUUCUUUGUACGUUUUUUAAUCUUGUUUAAUCCUUCCAUUCUCGUUGGUGCUGAACUUUUAUUUUAUCUUUGAUUUUUGAGUGUCACUAAUGUCAAUGGCAGAUAUAAAAUCUGGAAGGGUUAAAGCUGAUUUUUUUUUAAAUUUUAAUUAUCAAAAGUUACAGUAAAUUUGUUUCAAAUGAACAUUUUUACAACUCAAGUCAAAAAUAGAUAAACACUGUAGUUCUGAUCAGAACAUUUUUUUUGGCAGAUGACUUGAUUGAUGUAUGUCAGGAUUUUUAGGCAAAAAAAAAAACACUGAUUUUUUUUAAGCUGUUACACGGUGUCCAGAUCUUUACGCCCCAGACUACUACACUUCCACCAACAACUUUGACUUCAUUCUUGCAAACUCUUUGGUCAGUUUUUAUCAAAUUGUAACUUUUUUUCCCCUUUCAAAUUUUUUUUCAAAUAUUAUUCUUGAAUUAUAUUUUGUUAUGACUUACUGGGUGACUUGCCAAACUCCUAUGGUCAUUUUAAAAGAUUAAACAUUCCUGAAAUAUAUACCACUUCUCCAUAUUUUGUGUUAAAACUGCUCCCAACUUGGUUUUCUUGAGCCUUUAAGACUGAUCCAAAUUCAGAACUUUCUUUCAUACGUGUUCUAUUUUAUUUUAUUUUUUUUUUUGAAGAUGGGAACAAGGUGUUUCAAUUUUUUAGAUCUUUUAGCAUUCCUCAUUUUGUAGGAUUUUCUUUUUUUAAUUCCUUUGUAGAUUUAAUAUGUCUGGAAGCAAUCAGUAUUGGGUGUGGCUGGUAGAUUAAUACAUCUUUCCCAGAAGCAUGUUGAAUCAUGGCUCAUGUAUGACACAUGGAAGCGAUAGAGUCGAAGCAGAGCUUUAUUUCUCAGCACAUAUUAUCACAAUUUAAAACCUGACUUUUAGAUUUAUUUGGGUUUUCUUGUGAAAUUAUCAAAUUUUGUUUACUCAUUUAAAUCAUCUGUUUGAAUAGCACCUUAAAAAAUGGCCUGUUUUAAAAAAUGUAAGACUAAUUGACUGGAUGUAAAGUUUUUUGUUUUUUUUUCUGUUGUAAC